Transfer RNA from Tilletiaria anomala, 106 nucleotides. It matches the Rfam family "tRNA". Rfam says of the family: Transfer RNA (tRNA) molecules are approximately 80 nucleotides in length. Their secondary structure includes four short double-helical elements and three loops (D, anti-codon, and T loops). Further hydrogen bonds mediate the characteristic L-shaped molecular structure. tRNAs have two regions of fundamental functional importance: the anti-codon, which is responsible for specific mRNA codon recognition, and the 3' end, to which the tRNAs corresponding amino acid is attached (by aminoacyl-tRNA synthetases). tRNAs cope with the degeneracy of the genetic code in two manners: having more than one tRNA (with a specific anti-codon) for a particular amino acid; and 'wobble' base-pairing, i.e. permitting non-standard base-pairing at the 3rd anti-codon position. Lineage: Eukaryota; Fungi; Basidiomycota; Exobasidiomycetes; Georgefischeriales; Tilletiariaceae. The record is from Rfam.
GGUCUGUUAGCUCAGCUGGUCAGAGCGUGGUACUAAUACAAUCACGAUGCUUGCAUCGGAUGUUGCCGUAAUGCCAAGGUCACGAGUUCAAUCCUCGUAUGGACCA